Molecule: long non-coding RNA, 223 nt
Filed under: Elaeis guineensis (African oil palm)
Lineage: Eukaryota; Viridiplantae; Streptophyta; Magnoliopsida; Arecales; Arecaceae
Description: long non-coding RNA (EGUI_LNC051932)
Source: RNAcentral
AAGAGCGCCACAACUCAAAUUAGUGCAAGAAAACAAAAGAGAAGGAAAAGAGUGCAGAAGAAGAAAAAGAAGCUCUCUGUAAAGAAGAAUCUGAUUUCAUUGAUUAAAUAGUUUUUAAGUACAAGAGAACAAAGAAAAGUCACCACAAAGAAAAAAUAUAAAAUUAGAGGUUUCAGAUCUCUGGGACAGAAGUGGAGGAGCUCGGCGCCCUUGGAAGGUCGGU